GGCGGGCGCUGGGGCCGAGUCCGGACCGCGCCCGGUGCGGGACCGGGGCCCCGCCGGGCUCGGUCCUGCUCCAGCCACUCACCCGACACCUGCCGGGGGAGACUCGAUGCUCUCCCUCCCGUCCCCCUUCCUCUGUGGCUCGCACCCCCCAGUGGAAGAACACGGGGGUUUAAAAAGCCGGUGAAAGGUGUUUGUUCUUUAUUUUCAGAGCACAGGAGGUUCCGAGUUGGAAAGGGCCCCGAGGAUCAUCGAGUCAAACGGUGAUGAGCGAUUGGCCCACGUGGGGACUGAAUUCAGCAUCUUGGCCUUGUCAGCACCCUGCUCCAAGCACCUGAGCAACCUCAGGCUCAUGAGGAAGGAUUUACCACCAGCUGUAAAGGUGCUCAUUCCAUGUCCCUUUCCAAGGAGAAAUGAGCAGGACAAGCCCUGAGGGUUCACUUGGUCCGUGGCCAGAGUUCUUCAGGAGAGUGUCAGGGCUGGUCCCACCUGCAGAGGGGCGUUUCCUGCAGGCCCUGCUUGUGAGUCAUUCCAUGCUUUGCCAUUGGACUUUGGACAAAGGAGGGGAAGGAUCUGUUCCACAUAGGUGUCAUCCAAUGCUCGGCUCUAGUGCUUUCCUUGGGAAAGGAUGUACUGGAAUAAAAAAAGUAGUCCCGGCCCACAUGGUACCUACCCAGAGGAGGUCACUGCUCUGUUCCUGGCAGAGGGAGACCUGCUGGCAUCUGAGUGGCUCAAUACUGGGCCAUGUUGCAGCAACACGGGAGGGCUGGACUUGGUGCCUUCUCUCCUUUCCUGUUCUGAGAGCAGGAGCAGGUGGGCUUGCCCAGAAGCUGUGUGUAAGAGGAGAGAAGAGGACAUUUGUCAGGGCCCAACCAUGA
RNAcentral lists this long non-coding RNA (875 nucleotides) under Taeniopygia guttata (zebra finch). RNAcentral describes it as "lncRNA (ENSTGUG00000021388.1)". The record is from RNAcentral. Lineage: Eukaryota; Metazoa; Chordata; Aves; Passeriformes; Estrildidae.